UUCUUUCGUUCUUUCUUUCUUUUUUUUUUUGUCCAGAACGAGGCAACAGCCCUUCCUCAUGCUUUGUUUGUGGUUUGAGAGUUUCAACCUAUUGUGUCUCAUUUUCUCUCACACACCUUUCCAUCUAAAAUUUGCUUUCUACAAAUCUUUUACUUCUUGUCUCCUGAGCUAACAUCAUCAACUAUCUUUCUAGUUCUUUAUGCAGAGCAUGUUCAUGUGGAAG
This 223-nucleotide unclassified non-coding RNA is filed under the name Hevea brasiliensis (rubber tree). The record is from RNAcentral. Lineage: Eukaryota; Viridiplantae; Streptophyta; Magnoliopsida; Malpighiales; Euphorbiaceae.